GACGAACGCUGGCGGCGUGCCUAAUACAUGCAAGUUGAGCGAUGAAGAUUGGUGCUUGCACCAAUUUGAAGAGCAGCGAACGGGUGAGUAACGCGUGGGGAAUCUGCCUUUGAGCGGGGGACAACAUUUGGAAACGAAUGCUAAUACCGCAUAACAACUUUAAACAUAAGUUUUAAGUUUGAAAGAUGCAAUUGCAUCACUCAAAGAUGAUCCCGCGUUGUAUUAGCUAGUUGGUGAGGUAAAGGCUCACCAAGGCGAUGAUACAUAGCCGACCUGAGAGGGUGAUCGGCCACAUUGGGACUGAGACACGGCCCAAACUCCUACGGGAGGCAGCAGUAGGGAAUCUUCGGCAAUGGACGAAAGUCUGACCGAGCAACGCCGCGGGAGUGAAGGAGGUUGUCGGAUCGUAAAACUCUGUUGGUAGAGAAGAACGUUGGUGAGAGUGGAAAGCUCAUCAAGUGACGGUAACUACCCAGAAAGGGACGGCUAACUACGUG
RNAcentral lists this ribosomal RNA (497 nucleotides) under uncultured bacterium. Its description in RNAcentral is "partial 16S ribosomal RNA". It matches the Rfam family "Bacterial small subunit ribosomal RNA", at positions 28 to 507 of the family's 1533-position model. The record is from RNAcentral.